CAAAUCUUUUGCGAGUGCUGCGUGCGUAACUGUGCGUAGCAUCUCACAACAUUAGCACAAGGUCGCAAGGCCUUGAUGUUUACGCUUGUUUGUUUGACAGAGUUAGUUGAGACAAUAAAAAGA
This 123-nucleotide unclassified non-coding RNA is filed under the name uncultured Agaricomycetes. RNAcentral describes it as "sequence contains ITS1". The record is from RNAcentral. Lineage: Eukaryota; Fungi; Basidiomycota; Agaricomycetes.